GAACUGUUAUAAAAAAACAUGACGGGGUCCAAACCAAUCGAAAUUACUUCAUCGCCGCCGCGCUGAAUAUUAGCUUUGAAGUUUUUUUUUGUGGUUUUUAGGACUCGUCCUUCUUGUCCCAGGUCUAAGCUGUCACUUAGGCCUAGUCCACUAUAUGCUAAAUGGCACUGGUAUAUUGUAGGGCUACACACCUGGAUGCGGGGACAUCUCGUUAGGCACACAGUACCAAGCAGUGGUUGUAACACUCCACUGUUCCAAUGACACGGGUACGGUAAUAAUCUGUGUGAUAGAGACAAUCCGCAGCUGAGUUGGCUGCCUUGAAAGAGGAUGCUGACCGGUUCAACGCUCGCUAAGGUGUGGGUUGUGACCAAUUUUGAAUACAUUUACGGUCAUGGCUUAAGGUACGGGCUACGCCCACCCGAGAGGGUGAUACUGUCUACCGGAAGUGCACUCUGAGAAGCAGUAUGCGCGGGGAGUCCUCACUCCUCGCAGGGUAUCACGG
This 502-nucleotide non-coding RNA is filed under the name Beauveria bassiana. The record is from RNAcentral. Lineage: Eukaryota; Fungi; Ascomycota; Sordariomycetes; Hypocreales; Cordycipitaceae.